CACGUCUCACAGUGAUUAUGUUCAAGUAGGAAGGGCAAGCGUAGCCUAAUGCUGCAUCACACUGCCUGCAUCACUUACCUCGCUUCUUCCCGUCACAGAAGGAUGAGCACAGCUCAGCAAGGUAUAAAGCACUAAGCCAAAGCAGCCCAUGAUAAGACGGUAAACAAGAGGACAUAAACCAACAACCCAAGAUGGCAGAAUACAGGAAGACAGUGAUGACUUCACUGAGUAGCUGAGUUGAAUCGGAUGCACAUGGAUGAAUUUCGUGGAUACAAGAUACCUUUCAAGUCAUAGAAUCAGUGUAGAAUCAGGUGAAUUGUUUGAACCACUACAGGCAAAUUAAUCUUUUCAUGAUCAUAAUUUCCCAGCAGAUCACUUGGCUCUCUGGGUCAAGGACCACUAAGUUCACAGCGUUCAUACUGCUGGGAUGCAUGUUUGUGGAAAAAAAGAAUCAACAACAGCAACAACAACAAAAAUCAACAGCACCAAAAUGGUAUUGUUAUAUUGGGAACCUCAGUACUGUUAGUUGAAUGACAACAAGGACUAAGUGUGAAUUCUAUUUACCUCCUUAUGUUCCUUUUAUGCACACAUCAACUAGAGUCUUACUUGAAUUACUAUGCUUCACUAAUUUGGAUAAGGAAAGGAGCAUUUGGUCAAGGUGUUAAACAAAGUCAUUAACCAAUCCUCUAAAAUCUGUCACGGGUACACUUUCUCUGAAUUUUCAAAUUGAGUAACACUGAAUCUAGAAGAUUAAAAAAAAUGUCAAACCUA
This is a long non-coding RNA of Chinchilla lanigera (long-tailed chinchilla), 771 nucleotides long. RefSeq lists it as uncharacterized. The transcript has 3 exons. NCBI's taxonomy places the organism in Eukaryota, Metazoa, Chordata, Mammalia, Rodentia, Chinchillidae. The record is from RefSeq and is a predicted model, not a curated record.